UCGAACGAGGUAGAGCUUGCUCUACUUAGUGUUAAACGGGUGAGUAACGCACGGGAAUCUGCCUUUAGGUAAGGAAUAACCAAGGGAAACUUUGGCUAAUACCUUAUAAUAUGAGUAAUCAUCAAAGAUUUAUCGCCUAAAGAGGAGCCCGUGUCAGAUUAGGUUGUUGGUGGGGUAAAGGCCUACCAAGCCUGUGAUCUGUAGCUGGUCUGAGAGGACGAUCAGCCACACUGGGACUUAGACACGGCCCAGACUCCAACGGGAGGCAGCAGUGGGGAAUAUUGGACAAUGGGGGAAACCCUGAUCCAGCAAUGCCGCGUGAGUGAAGAAGGCCCUUGGGUUGUAAAGCUCUUUCACCUGUGACGAUAAUGACGGUAGCAGGACAAGAAGCCCCGGCUAACUCCGUGCCAGCAGCCGCGGUAAGACGGAGGGGGCUAGCGUUAUUCGGAAUUACUGGGCGUAAAGGGUGCGUCGGCGGNUUCUUAAGCCANGUGUGAAAGCCUGGGGCUCAACCCCANAAUGGC
This 524-nucleotide ribosomal RNA is filed under the name uncultured bacterium. Its description in RNAcentral is "bacterial SSU rRNA". It matches the Rfam family "Bacterial small subunit ribosomal RNA", at positions 62 to 624 of the family's 1533-position model. The record is from RNAcentral.